GAUGAACGCUGGCGGCGUGCCUAAUACAUGCAAGUCGAGCGAACAGAUGAGGAGCUUGCUCCUCUGACGUUAGCGGCGGACGGGUGAGUAACACGUGGAUAACCUACCUAUAAGACUGGGAUAACUUCGGGAAACCGGAGCUAAUACCGGAUAAUAUAUUGAACCGCAUGGUUCAAUAGUGAAAGACGGUUUUGCUGUCACUUAUAGAUGGAUCCGCGCCGCAUUAGCUAGUUGGUAAGGUAACGGCUUACCAAGGCAACGAUGCGUAGCCGACCUGAGAGGGUGAUCGGCCACACUGGAACUCAGACACGGUCCAGACUCCUACGGGAGGCAGCAGUAGGGAAUCUUCCGCAAUGGGCGAAAGCCUGACGGAGCAACGCCGCGUGAGUGAUGAAGGUCUUCGGAUCGUAAAACUCUGUUAUUAGGGAAGAACAAAUGUGUAAGUAACUAUGCACGUCUUGACGGUACCUAAUCAGAAAGCCACGGCUAACUACGUG
This 497-nucleotide ribosomal RNA is filed under the name uncultured bacterium. Its description in RNAcentral is "partial 16S ribosomal RNA". It matches the Rfam family "Bacterial small subunit ribosomal RNA", at positions 28 to 507 of the family's 1533-position model. The record is from RNAcentral.